CCUACGGUAGGCAGCAGUGGGGAAUAUUGGACAAUGGGGGGAACCCUGAUCCAGCGACGCCGCGUGAGUGAAGAAGUAUUUCGGUAUGUAAAGCUCUAUCAGCAGGGAAGAAAGAAAUGACGGUACCUGACUAAGAAGCCCCGGCUAACUACGUGCCAGCAGCCGCGGUAAUACGUAGGGGGCAAGCGUUAUCCGGAUUUACUGGGUGGAAAGGGAGCGUAGACGGCGAUGCAAGUCUGAAGUGAAAGGCGGGGGCCCAACCCCCGGACUGCUUUGGAAACUGUAUGGCUGGAGUGCAGGAGAGGUAAGUGGAAUUCCUAGGGUAGCGGUGAAAUGCGUAGAUAUUAGGAGGAACACCAGUGGCGAAGGCGGCUUACUGGACUGUAACUGACGUUGAGGCUCGAAAGCGUGGGGAGCAAACAGGAUUAGAUACCCCAGUAGUC
Molecule: ribosomal RNA, 443 nt
Filed under: uncultured bacterium
Lineage: Bacteria
Description: partial 16S ribosomal RNA
Rfam family: Bacterial small subunit ribosomal RNA
Source: RNAcentral